RNAcentral lists this unclassified non-coding RNA (234 nucleotides) under plant metagenome. RNAcentral's name for it is "partial contains small subunit ribosomal RNA, internal transcribed spacer 1, and 5.8S ribosomal RNA". The record is from RNAcentral.
UUUCCGUAGGUGAACCUGCGGAAGGAUCAUUAAAGUUAUAGUCCCCUGGCCCUCUGGGCUGGGGUCUUCUAUACCACCCUUUGUUUAUUACACCUUUGUUGCUUUGGCAGGCCUGCCCUCGGGCUGCUGGCUCCGGCCGGCGAGCGCCUGCCAGAGGACCUAAACCCUGUUUGUCUAUAAUGUCUGAGUACUAUAUAAUAGUUAAAACUUUCAACAACGGAUCUCUUGGUUCUG